This is a long non-coding RNA of Raphanus sativus (radish), 2670 nucleotides long. RefSeq lists it as uncharacterized. The transcript has 7 exons. The record is from RefSeq and is a predicted model, not a curated record. Lineage: Eukaryota; Viridiplantae; Streptophyta; Magnoliopsida; Brassicales; Brassicaceae.
UUGUAUCUGGGCUUCAUGUUUUAGGUAUAAACCCACAUAUGUUUCUCCCGUCUGCUUUCAUACGACGCCAUCGCCGUGUCGAUCCAAGUACAGGCCACCGCCUCUUACCAGAAGAGGUGUAACGGUCUACACUUUCAUUCAAUCUCCAUCGUUUACGUUCUUAUUCACUCCAUAAACUUGCAUUCAAUAGCACCUUCACUCUUCCCAGAUGGUUACAAAACUUAUCCUAUAAAAAGGAGGUAAGCUUUGCCAAAAUUCACCAAUCAUCACCUCUCACCCUCAAUCAUCAUAAUACUUUGCUUCAGUAUUGUGAUCUCUUCAUAGAAAUUCUGAUAUAGCUAUAGAGUUUCGAGAUGUUGAUUCGUUUUGUGAAUCUUCCAUCCCGUUUUAUCUUCUUUUCUAUUCAACAAAAGCUUAUCGGGAGAACUAUUCAAGACAAAUCGCGAUGAAUCUGAUGAUGGGCCGUGUCUCGGUUUGUCCGGAUUCAACGCUUAUACGAAUUUCCUACCUCCAACAAGAACGACGCUCUCAUUCAGUGAAUAUCCCGUCAGAGGCCGUGAUUCUCAACUUAUAAAUAGGGGGCCACUGUUCUUCCAUCGUCGAAGUGAGGCUUCUAAGAUUUUGGGAAGCUGGAAAGCUCAAACGCGGUGGGGGAGUUGAUAGGCUGGAUAUACUUCUCCUUGAUGCCAAGGUUUUGCGAUCUUUGACGAUUUCAGUUUCAGUACAUCCUCCUUUCCUUUAAGUCCGUGCAUCUGCAGCUAUAUAUAGGCUAAAUUUCAGAAACAUGGGGCAGAGCAGAGGGAAGAGCAACUGGAAAGUCUCAAUCAUCAUAGGUUUGAAUUUGAAAGGUUCAGCCUUAUGUAAGAGUGGAUAGUCAAUAGGGAGAAGUUAGAACGAGAGUUGGCUAUUUCCUCUCAUGAGAUACUUGCUGCCGGAAGGGUUCACGGUGCACGUUUAUAAUUGGUCAGUGAUCCAUUUCUCCUCUCCGAGUUUUGUCGGACCCAGCGACAACGUCAAUAAAAGGUUAUCGAGAUGGUAAUAUAUCCGGCAGUGAAGCAAUUCAGAGAUCAGAUGAUAUCACCAUCAAGUUGAUGGCAUCAACAGCACAUCCUCUGUUAAGCGUCAGCCAAAGGUCCCAUUGUUGUGAGGAAAGCUUAGUUGUUCUCUUCUCGAAUCAUCUCUUGAAGAACACACAACUUCCUCUGUGUGUUUUCCUCUUCCAAAGGUUUUAUUAGUCAUAAAAAGGAGGGCAACGAUAGAAAGCGGAUGUGGAAAAAAUAAAAGAAAGGCCUUUUUUAUACAAAGGUGAAAUCAAUUCCCUUAAUUCACAACCUCAAGGAUCAGAGAUUCAGACAGUUGCAGUGUAAAAACGCCUUCCUACCGUAAAACAUUGCAGUAUCACAUUCACUGUUUAUCAUUUUUUACUGUUCCUCUUCAAGUGUUUUUCUAGACGGAAGAUAUCAAGUAUAUACCACAGUCUCCACCUGGCCCUCCAAAGGAGAAGGAUACGGCAUUCUACUUGACAUAACUCCAAUAUGAUGAUCUGGAACACUGGUACGAAUAUAAAUAGUGUCUUGUUUUCAUGUCUUCAAUAUCAACUAAUUGAUACUUCGAGUUGGUUUGACACACAGAUGAUGUGGACUCUUCCGAAUAAUUGUAUUUCCACCAGACGUAUUAAAGAUGCUCCGCUUUUUACAUGUGUGAAUAAUUCUUUGGAUAAACUAAGAGAAACUAUAACAAUGAGUCAGAUUGUGAGAGUUCGAGCUUCACACCGAAGGUAUUAUUUACCAUAAUUCCUUCUCAGACUAUGUCCCAGUAUCGUUUGAAAUCAACAUUAUUCUAAAUACGACGUUUAUUCUAAAUAUCUUGAUACCUACGGUACUAUCUUGCUGAGUAGCUCUGCUCUUAAGCUAUACCAUGUCAAGAUUAUUCAUCUAAACAGGUAUGCUUCCUCAGUCAAUAUAAUUAGUCGUGAAUAUAUAUAUAUAUAUAUGACCGCUUUUCUUCAGACAAGAAAAUAGAUUAGCACAGAAUUAACAAGGUGUAGUUUAAUUUAAAAGCCCUUAUCGCUCAUAACCACGAUUUGAUAGUGUUGUUCAAUGAUAAUCUGAGUUUCUACCUUCCUACAGGGUAUGCACGGACCCAGGUUUAAGCUGGGCGAGUAUUGCACAGUUGGAAGAAGAAUAUUAAAAGUAACUGAUGUGGGAUGCAUCAUUUUUCCCAUCAUGCAUUUAUAACAAAGAUCUUAAGCAUAUACCUUCUUCCUAAUGCGAUGUGUAACUUUCAGUUCGCGACACAUUUUCCGUGAGUCUUGGUUUACUAGAUGUAACCCAUGUCGCAGGUAACUCACUGCUGGUCAAAACUCGUGAAAGCCCAACCUCAAAUAUGGAACUGAAGGUUAAAAGAUUGGGUGUAUUAAACCAAGUACACUACGAGAGGUUUGCAUAAGAGAGAGGCUAUUUGGAAAAGACAAUUGGCGGGUCUUCUAAGUUGAGUACUAAUAAAAUCAUUGAUGCAUGUUGAGGUGGGAGUUCUGAAGACCUAUAAAAGAAAAUUCUAAGACUAUUUCUUUUGAAAAUGAAUAGCAAAUAAACCUCUUGAGUUUAUAUAAGACAUUUUGAAAGUUUUUUUUACAAUAGUAUAAAGAUAAAUCCCCAAAUCUCACGUGAU